This 72-nucleotide transfer RNA is filed under the name Sediminitomix flava. It matches the Rfam family "tRNA". Rfam says of the family: Transfer RNA (tRNA) molecules are approximately 80 nucleotides in length. Their secondary structure includes four short double-helical elements and three loops (D, anti-codon, and T loops). Further hydrogen bonds mediate the characteristic L-shaped molecular structure. tRNAs have two regions of fundamental functional importance: the anti-codon, which is responsible for specific mRNA codon recognition, and the 3' end, to which the tRNAs corresponding amino acid is attached (by aminoacyl-tRNA synthetases). tRNAs cope with the degeneracy of the genetic code in two manners: having more than one tRNA (with a specific anti-codon) for a particular amino acid; and 'wobble' base-pairing, i.e. permitting non-standard base-pairing at the 3rd anti-codon position. Lineage: Bacteria; Pseudomonadati; Bacteroidota; Cytophagia; Cytophagales; Flammeovirgaceae. The record is from Rfam by way of RNAcentral.
GCUGACGUAGCUCAGGGGUAGAGCACUUCCUUGGUAAGGAAGAGGUCGUGGGUUCAAAUCCCAUCGUUAGCU